CAGGAGGAUCCUGGCGCAGGGAAACCACCCGUUCCCAUCCCGAACACGGAAGUGAAGCCCUGCCGCGCCGAUGGUAGUGCCGCUUGACGGCUCUCGCCGUCUGCCUCGCAGCCGGCUGCCGCCCAAGGGGUGGGAGAGUAGGUCGUUGCCAGGC
RNAcentral lists this ribosomal RNA (154 nucleotides) under Spirochaetota bacterium. Lineage: Bacteria; Pseudomonadati; Spirochaetota. The record is from RNAcentral.